GACGAACCGUGCGAACGUUAUUCGGAAUCACUGGGCUUAAAGCGUGUGUAGGCGGAUCGUUAAGUGCCUUGUGAAAUCCCACGGCUUAACCGUGGAACUGCUUGGCAUACUGGCGAUCUUGAGCAACCUAGGGGCGAGCGGAACAAAUGGUGGAGCGGUGAAAUGCGUAGAUAUCAUUUGGAACGCCAAUGGUGAAAACAGCUCGCUGGGGGUUUGCUGACGCUGAGACACGAAAGCCAGGGGAGCAAACGGG
Molecule: ribosomal RNA, 253 nt
Filed under: uncultured bacterium
Lineage: Bacteria
Description: partial 16S ribosomal RNA
Rfam family: Bacterial small subunit ribosomal RNA
Source: RNAcentral